RNAcentral lists this ribosomal RNA (910 nucleotides) under Mastigosporium rubricosum. RNAcentral describes it as "LSU rRNA". It matches the Rfam family "Eukaryotic large subunit ribosomal RNA", at positions 38 to 964 of the family's 3401-position model. Lineage: Eukaryota; Fungi; Ascomycota; Leotiomycetes; Helotiales. The record is from RNAcentral.
GCAUAUCAUAGCGGAGGAAAAGAACCCAACAGGGAUUACCUCAGUAACGGCGAGUGAAGCGGUAACAGCUCAAAUUUGAAAGCUGGCUCUUUUAGGGUCCGCGUUGUAAUUUGUAGAAGAUGCUUCGGGUGUGGCCCCGGUCUAAGUUCCUUGGAACAGGACGUCAUAGAGGGUGAGAAUCCCGUAUGUGACUGGGUGCUUUCGCUCAUGUGAAGCUCUUUCGACGAGUCGAGUUGUUUGGGAAUGCAGCUCAAAAUGGGUGGUAAAUUUCAUCUAAAGCUAAAUAUUGGCCAGAGACCGAUAGCGCACAAGUAGAGUGAUCGAAAGAUGAAAAGCACUUUGGAAAGAGAGUUAAACAGUACGUGAAAUUGUUGAAAGGGAAGCGCUUGCAACCAGACUUGCGCGCUGAUGAUCAUCCGGGCUUCUGCCCGGUGCACUCGUCUGCGCUCAGGCCAGCAUCGGUUUCGGUGGUGGGAUAAAGGCCUUGGGAAUGUAGCUCCCCUCGGGGGAGUGUUAUAGCCCUCGGUGCAAUGCCGCCUACCGGGACCGAGGACCGCGCUUCGGCUAGGAUGCUGGCGUAAUGGUUGUAAGCGACCCGUCUUGAAACACGGACCAAGGAGUCUAACAUCUAUGCGAGUGUUUGGGUGUCAAACCCAUACGCGUAAUGAAAGUGAACGGAGGUGAGAACCCUUAAGGGUGCAUCAUCGACCGAUCCUGAUGUCUUCGGAUGGAUUUGAGUAAGAGCAUAGCUGUUGGGACCCGAAAGAUGGUGAACUAUGCGUGAAUAGGGUGAAGCCAGAGGAAACUCUGGUGGAGGCUCGCAGCGGUUCUGACGUGCAAAUCGAUCGUCAAAUUUGCGUAUAGGGGGCGAAAGACUAAUCGAAACCAUCUAGUAGCUGGGUUCUGCGGA